AACGAACGCUGGCGGCAUGCCUAACACAUGCCAGUCGAACGAGACCUUCGGGUCUAGUGGCGCACGGGUGCGUAACGCGUGGGAACCUGCCCUUAGGUUCGGAAUAACUCCCCGAAAGGGGUGCUAAUACCGGAUAAUGUCUUCGGACCAAAGAUUUAUCGCCUUUGGAUGGGCCCGCGUUGGAUUAGCUAGUUGGUAGGGUAAAAGCCUACCAAGGCGACGAUCCAUAGCUGGUCUGAGAGGAUGAUCAGCCACACUGGGACUGAGACACGGCCCAGACUCCUACGGGAGGCAGCAGUGGGGAAUAUUGGACAAUGGGCGAAAGCCUGAUCCAGCAAUGCCGCGUUAGUGAUGAAGGCCUUAGGGUUGUAAAGCUCUUUUACCCGGGAUGAUAAUGACAGUACCGUGAGAAUAAGCACCGGCUAACUCCGUG
This 433-nucleotide ribosomal RNA is filed under the name uncultured bacterium. RNAcentral describes it as "partial 16S ribosomal RNA". It matches the Rfam family "Bacterial small subunit ribosomal RNA", at positions 29 to 507 of the family's 1533-position model. The record is from RNAcentral.